RNAcentral lists this ribosomal RNA (410 nucleotides) under uncultured Paracoccaceae bacterium. RNAcentral's name for it is "bacterial SSU rRNA". It matches the Rfam family "Bacterial small subunit ribosomal RNA", at positions 574 to 984 of the family's 1533-position model. Lineage: Bacteria; Pseudomonadati; Pseudomonadota; Alphaproteobacteria; Rhodobacterales; Paracoccaceae. The record is from RNAcentral.
GGCGGAUUAGUAAGUUAGAGGUGAAAUCCCAGGGCUCAACCCUGGAACUGCCUUUAAUACUGCUAGUCUUGAGUUCGAGAGAGGUAAGUGGAAUUCCAAGUGUAGAGGUGAAAUUCGUAGAUAUUUGGAGGAACACCAGUGGCGAAGGCGGCUUACUGGCUCGAUACUGACGCUGAGGUGCGAAAGUGUGGGGAGCAAACAGGAUUAGAUACCCUGGUAGUCCACACCGUAAACGAUGAAUGCCAGACGUCAGCAAGUAUACUUGUUGGUGUCACACCUAACGGAUUAAGCAUUCCGCCUGGGGAGUACGGUCGCAAGAUUAAMACUCAAAGGAAUUGACGGGGGCCCGCACAAGCGGUGGAGCAUGUGGUUUAAUUCGAAGCAACGCGCAGAACCUUACCAACCCUUGA